CCUACGGGAGGCAGCAGUGGGGAAUAUUGGGCAAUGGGCGCAAGCCUGACCCAGCAAUGCCGCGUGGGUGAAGAAGGUCUUCGGAUUGUAAAGCCCUUUCGACAGGGACGAUGAUGACGGUACCUGUAGAAGAAGCCCCGGCUAACUUCGUGCCAGCAGCCGCGGUAAUACGAAGGGGGCUAGCGUUGCUCGGAAUUACUGGGCGUAAAGGGCGCGUAGGCGGCUCUGUUAGUCAGGCGUGAAAUUCCUGGGCUCAACCUGGGGACUGCGCUUGAUACGGCGGGGCUAGAGGAUGGAAGAGGCUCGCGGAAUUCCCAGUGUAGAGGUGAAAUUCGUAGAUAUUGGGAAGAACACCGGUGGCGAAGGCGGCGAGCUGGUCCAUUACUGACGCUGAGGCGCGACAGCGUGGGGAGCAAACAGGAUUAGAUACCCUGGUAGUCCACGCCGUAAACGAUGUGCGCUGGAUGUUGGGAUCCCUAGGAUCUCAGUGUCGUAGCUAACGCGAUAAGCGCNCCGCCGNGGGAGACGGCCGCGAGUAGAACGACGAAGGUAAGUAGUUAGGNGUGAGAGUGCCGACGGCGACGACGAGGGAGGAGG
This 597-nucleotide ribosomal RNA is filed under the name uncultured bacterium. RNAcentral describes it as "bacterial SSU rRNA". The stretch from base 1 to 518 matches the Rfam family "Bacterial small subunit ribosomal RNA", at positions 338 to 873 of the family's 1533-position model. The record is from RNAcentral.